Benincasa hispida (wax gourd) is the source of this 1026-nucleotide long non-coding RNA. RefSeq lists it as uncharacterized. The record is from RefSeq and is a predicted model, not a curated record. NCBI's taxonomy places the organism in Eukaryota, Viridiplantae, Streptophyta, Magnoliopsida, Cucurbitales, Cucurbitaceae.
UUAGGGCUCAUAAAGUGCGGCUCCUUAUGCCUUCCACAACUUUCUUCUCCUUUCUCUCCAUUUUGAACGCUACAGAACUCUCUGCAGCCAAUCUCUCUCAAAACUUCAUUCUCCCAAACAAAAUCAAAAUCAAAAUCAAAAUACGAAACGCAAGUUGACCAAUCAUUCUCCAAAUCUUUUACCAGGUGAAUCUUCUGUCAGAUGCACACGACAUGUCGGGAGGAUUCCUGGUGACCAGUAGCAACUUGAUGAACCUAUGAAGACGACAAAAUGUCCCAAAAUCUUUAGUAGAGCAGAAGAGCAUCACACACAUAAUAGCCUUCAUUUCUUUUCUUUAUUUUUUCUUUUCUGACUCUCACAUGGAAUCUUCAUCGUCUUCUUUCUCUAGCGAGAUGGUCAAUACGGUGGUGAUCUACACUACUUUCUCUUGCACUCGAAAUUUUUCCAUCUCCCUAUUUGAGCUUCUCUUUUGUUCUGCCAAUUUCCAAUCUCUCAUCUUUUUUCUUGCUUACGAGAAAGGACUCCUCUUAUGGUGUUUGGAGGAUACAUCCAAUUCGUGGUAUCUAUAAGAAGCCCUAUUUUUUCUCUCUGACAGCAAAUUGUAAAAUUCAAAACAGAGCAAGUUAGUUGUUUGUGAAUCGAAGUAGUUAAGAACCAUUGUGGCAAUUUGCAGAUUCAUGAACAGGUUCCUCUCCCUUCUUUGCAGAACUUUUGAAAUUUUAUAAGAUCAUUAGUUGUCAAACUAGGUUAUGUUCUGAAUGCUCAGUAAUAUUGUAGACUUUUAUCUAUUUGAUAGGUAUAUCUUUAGAUUUGAUUCGAACAUAGGUCCCUUAGAAAUUUUUAAAUGUCUAAGAAGGUCGUUGGAUGAAAAGCUUCUUACCCCUACCUCUUGGUCGUCCUUCUUGGUUUAAGGAGACUUGAUUGUGAUCAAUGUGCUAUUUGAGUCAAAUCAUGCAUACAGUGAUGCUUUAUCCUCCUUCCUUCAUUGUCUUCAUUAUUUUAUAAUAAAAAGCCUUGUCUUCUUCA